Molecule: small RNA, 871 nt
Filed under: Rattus norvegicus (Norway rat)
Lineage: Eukaryota; Metazoa; Chordata; Mammalia; Rodentia; Muridae
Description: uncharacterized LOC108350121
Source: RNAcentral
UACAUCUCCUCGAGCUGUGUGGUUCAGCAUUUCUCAGGGAGCCCUUCCCCAGGCGCAUCAUGUGCUCUCGGGAGCUACCUUCUCCUCUUGUCUCCAGAAUGCUGUUCUGGACUGCUCACCGCACCACAUUAGGUAGCCAGACUGCUGGGUGUGGCGGCUGGUAUGUGGUCCCACCGCUGGAGAGGAUGGGGCAGGAGGAUUCUGAAUUCCGAGGCAGACUAGUCUACUACCCAGGAUCUGAACACAAAAAGGAACAAUCAGGUAACCCUAAGAACUCUUGUUCUUCCAUCACUCUAAGCCAUCUGGACCCUGGUUGCUGCUUCUGCUCCCUUUGCCCUCGUGGAUUGUCCUGAGUUUCUUUCUGCCCUGAGUUUCCUUCAUGAUGAACUCUAAGUGCAACUUCCUGUGAUGGUUGGUGCUGGGGAACUCUCUGAACCUAGGAGGAGAGCGAGGAUAAAACCUGUUUCUUGUGCUGUUCUGACAGGGGCUGCUUCGCCUUCAGAGAUUUUGUUCCAUUCUUGAAAAGCUUCGUGUAAAACCAUCGAUAGUCCAUUUGGUGAAAGUCCUCAAAGUCAAACUGGAAACAGAGGCGAGGUGUAGCUAGUGUAAUGGGGACCGAGUGGGGACCGAGUUGGAACGAGAAGGACCGGUGUCCCAAUCACAUGCUCUGUCGUUUUUAGUCAUUUGCCUGUGAGUAAAAUCUUCACCGUGAUGAAGGUCCAGCUUCUUUGUCAACGUGACUGGGUUUAGGAUCAACAUGGAAACACACCCCUGGAUGUGUCUGUGAGAGUGUUUCCAGAACACUUAAGUGAGAAUGAAGGCCUACCCUGAGUAUGGGUCCAGCUCUCCCAUAGGCUGGGAUCUGAUUGAA